UGGGGGCAGCAUGCCAAUGCUGGGGGUGGAAUCGAUAGCCCAGCUCAAGUGCAUCUAUGCCGAUGCACACAGCAUGGGCAAUAAACAGGAGGAGCUGGAAGCCAUUGUGCAGCAGGAUAGCUAUGACUUAGUUGCCACCACAGAAACAUGGUGGGACGACUCCCAUGACUGGAGUGCUGCAAUGGAUGGCUAUAAGCUCUUCAGAAGGGAUAGGCAAGGAAGGAGAGGCGAAGGGGUGGCUCUCUAUGUUAGGGAGUGUUUCGAUUGUACAGAGCUACACGAUUGUGAUGACAAGGUUGAGUGCUUGUGGGUAAGGAUGAGAGGGAAGGCCAACAAGGCAGAUAUUGUGCUGGGAGUCUGUUAUAGACCACCCAAUCAGGUUGAGGAGACAGAUGAAUCAUUCUACAAGCGGCUGGCAGUAGUCUCAGAAUUGUGUGCCCUUGUUCUCGUGGGGGACUUCAACUUUCUGGACGUCUGCUGGAAAUACAACACAGCAGAGAGUAAGCAGUCUAGGAGGUUCCUGGGGUGUGUGGAAGAUAACUUCCUGACACAGCUGGUAGGUGAGCCUACCAGGGGAGGAGCCUUGCUAGAUCUGCUGUUUACAAACAGGGAAGGACUGGUGGGACGUGUGAUGGUCAGAGGCCGUCUCGGGCUUAGCGACCAUGAAAUGAUAGAAUUCUCAAUUCUUGGUGAGGCAAGGAAGGUGGUCAGUAAAACCACCACUAUGGACUUCCGGAGGGCAAACUUUGGCCUUUUCCGGACAUUGGUUGAGAGAGUCCCUUGGGAGACAGUCCUGAAGGGCAAAGGGGACCAGGAAGGCUGGACAUUCUUCAAGGAGGAAAUCUUAAUGGCUCAGGACCAGGCUAUUCCCAUGCACCGCAAGACGAACCGCCGAGGAAGAUGACCGGCCUGGCUGAACAGGGAGCUUUUUCUAGGACUCAAGAAAAAAAGGAGAGUUUAUCAUCUCUGGAAGAAAGGGCAGGCAACCCAGGAGGAGUACAGGGAUCUUGUUAGGUCAUACAGAGAGGAAAUUAGAAAGGCAAAAGCUCAACUAGAACUCAAUCUGGCCACUGUCGUAAGAGACAACAAAAAAUAUUUUUACAAAUAUGUUAACAAUAAAAAGAGAGCCAAGGAGAGAAUAUCCAUCCUUUAUUGGAUACAGAGGGGAACAUU
This 1173-nucleotide long non-coding RNA is filed under the name Buteo japonicus. RNAcentral's name for it is "lncRNA (ENSBJAG00000014472.1)". Lineage: Eukaryota; Metazoa; Chordata; Aves; Accipitriformes; Accipitridae. The record is from RNAcentral.